GCUCAGCCGUAAACCAAGGUAGUAUAAACACAACACUACCCGCCAGAGAACUACAAGUGAAAAACUUAAAACUCCAAGGACUUGGCGGUGCUCCACACCAACCUAGAGGAGCCUGUCCUAUAAUCGAUAAUCCACGUUAUACCCUACCACCUUUUGCCCCCAGCCUAUAUACCGCCGUCGAAAGCCUACCUUCUGAAAGAAGCACAGUAGGCAAAACAGUUACUAACUAACACGUCAGGUCAAGGUGUAGCACAUGAGGUGGAAGAGAUGGGCUACAUUUUCUGCCACAGAAAACACGAACAGCCUAAUGAAACUUAGGCCAAAAGGCGGAUUUAGCAGUAAGACAAACAAGAAGCCCUGUCUUAAACCCGCUCUGGAGCGCGC
RNAcentral lists this ribosomal RNA (384 nucleotides) under Plestiodon marginatus (Ryukyu five-lined skink). RNAcentral's name for it is "partial 12S rRNA". It matches the Rfam family "Bacterial small subunit ribosomal RNA", at positions 794 to 1384 of the family's 1533-position model. Lineage: Eukaryota; Metazoa; Chordata; Lepidosauria; Squamata; Scincidae. The record is from RNAcentral.